Molecule: ribosomal RNA, 777 nt
Filed under: uncultured Neocallimastigales
Lineage: Eukaryota; Fungi; Neocallimastigomycota; Neocallimastigomycetes; Neocallimastigales
Description: partial large subunit ribosomal RNA
Rfam family: Eukaryotic large subunit ribosomal RNA
Source: RNAcentral
GUAGUCUCGCACAGAUGCAUAUCAAUAAGCGGAGGAAAAGAAACUAACAAGGAUUCCCCUAGUAACGGCGAGUGAAGCGGGAAGAGCUCAAAUUUGAAAUCUUAAAGGGUUUCCCUUUACGAAUUGUAGUUUAAAGAAGUGUUUUCUGUUGAGGUUUUGGUAAAAGUUCUUUGGAAUAGGACAUCAUAGAGGGUGAGAAUCCCGUAUUUGACCUUUACCUUUCAACUUUGUGAUACACUUUCAAAGAGUCGGAUUGUUUGGGAAUGCAGUCCAAAAUGGGUGGUAAAUUUCAUCUAAAGCUAAAUAUUGGCGAGAGACCGAUAGCUGAACAAGUACCGUGAGGGAAAGAUGAAAAGAACUUUGAAAAGAGAGUUAAACAGUACGUGAAAUUGUCAAAAGGGAAGCGUUUGACACCAGUGUUGUUUUUCUGAAAAUCAAUUAAAGAGCUGUUUAUGCUAAGUUGUUUAGACUUUAUCAGCUAACUGUUUAGUUUUGAGCUUUUCUUUAAUGCACUUUUCAGUUAACAAGUCAACAUCAAUUUCUUUUGCUGUAAAAAAGCUUGAGGAAGGUGGCUUGAGAUUCGUCUUAAGUGUUUAUAGCCUCUUGCCUAUGCAGUCGGAGAGAUUGAGGUCUGCAGCGUAGAUCCUUCGGGGCUAAAUGCAUUUGUGCUAAGUUAUAAGCAUUUUAUAGACAACUUGUUGACUAUGAUUUGUCUUGUAGCUUACUCGCUUAUGUUAUUUUACCUACGCUUAGGAUGUUGAUCUGUAGUGCGUGCGC